Molecule: ribosomal RNA, 460 nt
Filed under: uncultured bacterium
Lineage: Bacteria
Description: partial 16S ribosomal RNA
Rfam family: Bacterial small subunit ribosomal RNA
Source: RNAcentral
CCUACGGGUGGCAGCAGUGAGGAAUAUUGGUCAAUGGACGAGAGUCUGAACCAGCCAAGUAGCGUGAAGGAUGACUGCCCUAUGGGUUGUAAACUUCUUUUAUAAAGGAAUAAAACGUGGCACGUGUGCCUUUUUGUAUGUACUUUAUGAAUAAGGAUCGGCUAACUCCGUGCCAGCAGCCGCGGUAAUACGGAGGAUCCGAGCGUUAUCCGGAUUUAUUGGGUUUAAAGGGAGCGUAGAUGGGUUGUUAAGUCAGUUGUGAAAGUUUGCGGCUCAACCGUAAAAUUGCAAUUGAUACUGGCAGUCUUGAGUACAGGUGAGGUAGGAGGAAUUCGUUGUGUAGCGGUGAAAUGCUGAGAUAUCACGAAGAACUCCGAUUGCGAAGGCAGCUUACUAAACUGCCACUGACAUUGAUGCUCGAAAGUGUGGGUAUCAAACAGGAUUAGAUACCCGAGUAGUC